Molecule: ribosomal RNA, 819 nt
Filed under: uncultured Planctomycetota bacterium
Lineage: Bacteria; Pseudomonadati; Planctomycetota
Description: bacterial SSU rRNA
Rfam family: Bacterial small subunit ribosomal RNA
Source: RNAcentral
GGGGUAGCAAUAUCCCGGACUGAGUGGCGAAAGGGGCAGUAAGGCGUGGGUAACCUACCUCUGGGACGGGGAUAGCCUUCCUAACGGGAGGGUAAUACCCGGCGACGUAGUCGCGGGGCAUCUCGUGGCUACCAAAUGAAUUUCGCCCGGAGAGGGGCUCACGUGCUAUUAGCUUGUUGGCGGGGUGACGGCCCACCAAGGCAAAGAUGGCUAGCGGGUGUGAGAGCACGACCCGCGCCACUGGCACUGAGACACUGGCCAGACUCCUACGGGAGGCUGCAGUCGAGGAUCUUCGGCAAUGGGCGCAAGCCUGACCGAGCGACGCCGCGUGCGCGAUGAAGGCCUUCGGGUUGUAAAGCGCUGUCGAGGGGGAGGAAGCCGCAAGGUUGACCUAUCCCUGGAGGAAGGACGGGCUAAGUUCGUGCCAGCAGCCGCGGUAAGACGAACCGUCCUAACGUUGUUCGGAAUCACUGGGCUUAAAGGGCGCGUAGGCGGGCUCUCAAGUCCGGGGUGAAAUCUUUCGGCUCAACCGGAAAAUAGCCUUGGAUACUGGGAGUCUCGAGGGAGGUAGGGGCGGGUGGAACUUCCGGUGGAGCGGUGAAAUGCGUUGAUAUCGGAAGGAACGCCGGUGGCGAAAGCGACCCGCUGGACCUCUUCUGACGCUGAGGCGCGAAAGCCAGGGGAGCAAACGGGAUUAGAUACCCCGGUAGUCCUGGCCCUAAACGAUGGGUACUAGAUAGCGGACUAGACAUGGGUUCGCUGUCGAAGCAAAAGUGCUAAGUACCCCGCCUGGGGAGUAUGGUCGCAAGGCUGAAACUC